RNAcentral lists this small nuclear RNA (279 nucleotides) under Pogona vitticeps (central bearded dragon). Its description in RNAcentral is "7SK RNA (ENSPVIG00000000409.1)". It matches the Rfam family "7SK RNA". From Rfam's summary of the family: 7SK was discovered as an abundant small nuclear RNA in the mid-70s but a possible function has only recently been suggested. Two independent studies have found that 7SK RNA binds the CDK9/cyclin T complex (known as elongation factor P-TEFb). P-TEFb activates transcription by phosphorylating the C-terminal domain of RNA polymerase II. The record is from Rfam by way of RNAcentral. Lineage: Eukaryota; Metazoa; Chordata; Lepidosauria; Squamata; Agamidae.
GGAUGGAUGAAUGGAUGGAUGGAUCUGUCACUCCUCUGAUCACCAGAGUUGGCUGAGCCAACCUGGCUGGUUGGGCAGGUACCUCCCUCCUCUGUCACUCCAUUCCAUGUGUAUCCCUCUCAAAAUUUUAUGUGGUAUAGAUGAAGAAAAUGACCUUUCCAAAUUUAUGUUUUUUCUGUUAUCUGGUUAGAUUAGCUCUGGCUUAGAUACAUAUAUUCAUAUGUCACAUUUGCUAGCUAAGUCAAAAUAAAUUCCAUGAAAAAAAUACAGUAUGGUUUU